CAAUUUUUUCGGUUCGUUUGAGAGAAACGUAAUGGUCAAAAGAGAAUGAUCUUUCUCGUUAGUAUUAAAUUUUGAUUCGAGGUAAAUGAUUUAUUUAAAAGAAUUUAGUGAUAUAUCGAGAAUUUUUGAAUAAUUCGAAGGUUUAUAUAAUAAUAUUUUAAAGUGUUUAAAGAAAAAUAGAAAUAAAGAUUCAUGUCCAGAUGGAGAUAUACAUGUUUAAUAUUUGAUAUAUAUUCACAAGAUCCAGUCUGGCCAUAAAAUGUAAAUAAUUGGAGGACGAUCGAUAAUCUAUUUCAUGCAUGACAAAAUAAUCGAUUUGUAAAAUUGGAUUAACGGGACACGCCACGACGAGUUUCGAGUAAAAAUUAGUAAACAGAUUGUUGACCGCGAUAAACGUCCACGCCAUGCGAUUCAAUUCAGUUUUCUAAAAAGUAUAAAAUAUA
Long non-coding RNA from Apis dorsata (giant honeybee), 443 nucleotides. RefSeq lists it as uncharacterized. The record is from RefSeq and is a predicted model, not a curated record. Lineage: Eukaryota; Metazoa; Arthropoda; Insecta; Hymenoptera; Apidae. The transcript is spliced from 2 exons.